UAACCCCGACCGGGAGAGUUACGGUGCCGCCAGCAUCGCAACGCCGAAGGAGCAACCUCCCCGGAAUCUCUCAGGCCAACGGACCGGACGGGUGAG
RNAcentral lists this non-coding RNA (96 nucleotides) under actinobacterium acAcidi. Its description in RNAcentral is "Actinobacterium acAcidi Glycine sequence". It matches the Rfam family "Glycine riboswitch aptamer". Rfam says of the family: This family represents the bacterial glycine riboswitch. Glycine riboswitches usually consist of two metabolite-binding aptamers domains with similar structures in tandem. Lineage: Bacteria; Bacillati; Actinomycetota; Actinomycetes. The record is from RNAcentral.